AGUAGUGCAUUAGGUUUAAAAUCUAAAAAUGAUUAAAAUAUUAAAAAUCCUAUAUUA
RNAcentral lists this transfer RNA (57 nucleotides) under Calliobdella lophii. RNAcentral's name for it is "partial tRNA-Leu". Lineage: Eukaryota; Metazoa; Annelida; Clitellata; Hirudinida; Piscicolidae. The record is from RNAcentral.